Molecule: long non-coding RNA, 2899 nt
Organism: Ailuropoda melanoleuca (giant panda)
Lineage: Eukaryota; Metazoa; Chordata; Mammalia; Carnivora; Ursidae
Exons: 4
Source: RefSeq, a predicted model, not a curated record
GCUGCAUCAUUGCCUCUCCCUUUCCCCGCCCAUUCUCAGGUGAGCUGAUGGGGCUGGGAGCAGUGUUCAUGCCACCACUUUCCCAGGAUCUCUCUCAAGAGCGCAUGUUGGAUUUCCUUCUCCUUGGGGCCUGGGGAUGGCUGCGGGACCAGCUAAAGAGGAGAGGGCUUGCCUCUCCUUGGGGCCUGGGGUGCACACUGACAUUUCAUGGUUGCCCAUGAGGCUGAAGCUGAAGAACAUGAUUGUCACUUGGUGACCCCGAUGACCCUGAAGGGAACGCCCCUCCCCAAGCUUCAGGGGAACGGUACUGAUUUCUGGCUCACUCACCAGAGGCUCACCUUCAGCCUUUUAUUACUUUGCUUGUAUGCCCGAGCCCCCAACAGCCUGAAUCCUCGGCUUGCGUGGCUGGGGUCGGGACGUGGGACACAAAUUCAUGAACAAGGAAAGAACCACAGCCACUGGAUACAAAAGCCAAGUGGGAUAUCUGGUCCAGGUGACUCUCUCCAAAGCAAACUCCUUCCACACACAAGGAGAUGGAUAUCCACGGUGAUCCUGAGGAUGGGUGAAAAUCUAUUGGAAUAUUUAUGAACUAUUUUAUGCUUCAACUACUACAGUGUUGCAACAAUAAUGGCCGUUGCUUUUGAGCACUUACUAUGCGCUAUGCACUGUGCUAAGAGCUGUUAGCCCCAACUAAGCUACCACAAAACUUACCAAGAAGUGUGGGGAAAGGCUUGCUAACACGUGUUGCAGUCACAAGCUGGCUACCUGAGUGAUGCUUAAGUGUUGCUGGUAUCCAUGAAGCACAGACCUUUAAGGAAAAGGAAAAGGAAAAAGAAAAAAGAAAAAAAAAAAAAAAAGGAGACCAGAGGGAAUACUCCUACCUUUCCCAUCACCGGACAACAGUCUCACCUGGUUGGUAGAAGUCAGGCGACAGCUCCCUGGCCACAGCUCUUGCGAUGUCACACUCCUGGCGGGCCGCCUGGGCAGCCUGGUCGGCGGCGUCAGCUUUCGCUCUUGCGUGUGCAGUCCUACACGGGGCACAAAGGGCGAGUCAGCAAGGGCAGCACCUUGUUAAUUACCCACGGACAAGCAUGCUGUCACUGCACUCAUGGCCCCACGCCUCCUCCGACUGCAAGUUUUAGGGUCAUAGUGCUAUGAGCUAUCCGUGAAGAGAAUAUACAGGUGGAUGGAACCACCUGUGUACUGCCUCAGUCCUCCUUUCAAGGGAAAUGGAAGGGAAAUGGAAGGGUGAGCAAGUUCCGCGCAGCUUGAUGCAAAGCCUGGUUUUCAAAACUUCCCGGAUCAAAAAUCUCCUGCUGACUUUGGUUGGCAGCUUCCCCCGCAUGGUUUGUGGGGAAGAGUUAAAGCUUGUGAAUAUAGUGUUCAUGAAUUUCAUUCCUAUGGCAGAAUCUAUAUAAGAAUUUGAUUAAGAAGGAUCUCCCCAGGAGCAUGCUGAAUAAAAUAACUCUGGAAAAAAAGUAGUAAAACUCUGAUCUGUAGCCUUGAUUUCCAUGGUUAAAUACUCCCUCUAUGAGCAAUUCAAGUGGCUGGCGUGACGUCACUGAAUGUGUAGUUGGGAAGAGGCGCGCACAAUGGCUGUCACCAGCCUGUGGAAGCAGAACGUGGGGUCUGCGCUUAGGAAUGUGCUCGGGAGGUUCGAAGGAGUGCAUCUAACUUUAUUUUUUGUGUGAAACAAGGAGACAGAGGUGGGGAGGAGGAAACAGUGGUUCAGUCUUCCACCUGCCCCUCGGCCCACCUCAUUCAUGAAACCUCUUCUCUUUCCAGAAGACUAGGCUGAGGGAGCAGGCAGCCGGGUAGAGAAUGGGGCUUCUUAUGGCAAGACAAGAGAACUGAUGUCCACCUGCCCAAGAAGAGAGGAUUUAGAGGGUAAGACAGAGGACUCUAGGUCAUCCCCUUCCAAAGAAGACCUCGUGCAGUUAGUAUUUAGAAGAUAAUCAUGGGCCUCUAUUUCUUAUGAUUUGGGUAACUUUCUAUUCUAUUUCAUCAGCACCAGGCAGGGCUAUAAAUAACUAGUAGUAAAAGCGUGAUGAAAGUCUGAAAGAGGUGCUUACACUUAUUUCAGAAACAGCAAGAGAGGAAAAGUUGGGAAAUAACGUUGUACCCUAAGCAGUUCUUAGGAGAGAAAACGCAGGUGGCAGCUGGAGGAGGCAGGCAGACGGAAUCCCUGAGACUAGCCGCAGGAAGGAAGCAGGGAAGAUGGGGUCUGACCUGAGACGGAGGUGGGGGCUAACUGGCAGGAGGUCCCAUUCCCAAAUUCUCCAACUACCUCCUCUCAUUCUGUGUCACUCCUCCUUAGGACAUAGUCAACAUUGGAGGCUGGAAGUACUAGAAUGUAAGCUUUAUGAAGAUUUGGAUUUUAUAUUUCUGGUGUUCUGCUAUAUUCCCAACAUGUACGACAUUGCCUGGCACCCAGGCAUGGGUGUGUACUUAGGGCUCAUUUUACGAAUAAAGGAACGUCCUUAGGAACAGCUGGGUAGUUACUUAAAAAUGAAUAGAUUGACAAAACUAUAGAGCCGGUAAAAAGAUCCGUGGUUGCCAAGGGUUCAGGGUAAAAGUGGGGGAGGGAUGAACAGGUGGAGCACAGGAGAACCUUAGAGCAGCAAAACUACUCUGUAUGACACCGUAAUGGGGGCUCCAUGCCAUUAUGCACGUGUCAAAACCCACUAGACAGUACCACACACAGAGGGAGCCCUAAUGUCAACUACGGACUUUAGUUAUACUAACACAGUAAUACUGGCUGAUCAAUUGUACCAAAAGUACCCACUAGUGCAAGGUGUUCACAAUAGGGGAAACUGUGUGGGUGUGGGGACAGGAGGUGUGUAUGGGAACAAACUCUGUACUUUCUGCUCAAUUUUUCUGUAAAUUUAAAACUACUCUA